RNAcentral lists this ribosomal RNA (463 nucleotides) under uncultured bacterium. RNAcentral's name for it is "partial 16S ribosomal RNA". It matches the Rfam family "Bacterial small subunit ribosomal RNA", at positions 339 to 795 of the family's 1533-position model. The record is from RNAcentral.
CUACGGGAUGCUGCAGUGGGGAAUAUUGGACAAUGGGGGCAACCCUGAUCCAGCAAUGCCGCGUGUGUGAAGAAGGCCUUCGGGUUGUAAAGCACUUUCGAUGGGGACAAACAAGGUGGAGCUAAUAUCUCCGCCCCUGAUGGUACCCAGAGAAGAAGCACCGGCUAACUCUGUGCCAGCAGCCGCGGUAAUACAGAGGGUGCAAGCGUUAAUCGGAAUUACUGGGCGUAAAGGGUGCGUAGGUGGCUUGAUAAGUCGGGUGUGAAAUCCCCGGGCUCAACCUGGGAACUGCAGCCGAUACUGUCGCGCUGGAGUGUGGUAGAGGGAAGUGGAAUUCCGCAUGUAGCGGUGAAAUGCGUAGAUAUGCGGAGGAACACCAGUGGCGAAGGCGACUUCCUGGACCAACACUGACACUGAGGCACGAAAGCGUGGGGAUCAAACAGGAUUAGAUACCCCUGUAGUC